UACGGGGGGGGCAAGCGUUGUUCGGAAUUACUGGGCGUAAAGGGCGUGUAGGCGGCCAACUAAGUCCGACGUGAAAUCCCCAGGCUUAACCUGGGAACUGCGUCGGAUACUGGAUGGCUUGAAUCCGGGAGAGGGAUGCAGAAUUCCAGGUGUAGCGGUGAAAUGCGUAGAUAUCUGGAGGAAUACCGGUGGCGAAGGCGGCAUCCUGGACCGGCAUUGACGCUGAGGCGCGAAAGCUAGGGGAGCAAACGGG
Molecule: ribosomal RNA, 253 nt
Filed under: uncultured bacterium
Lineage: Bacteria
Description: partial 16S ribosomal RNA
Rfam family: Bacterial small subunit ribosomal RNA
Source: RNAcentral